UCAGGGGCCAAAAGCCAAGGAGGAAAAAGAACAAAAGGGUGAAGAAAGGACCGCGUUCUCCUACUCAGGACAGAGUAUCUUCUGCUCCCUUCUGUUGGAGACAACAGCCCGAUUAAGCAAGGGAAGUUGCCCUGCUUCUCCUCACGUCCCUAGAAGCUUAUCUUGAAUCGGACCUUAAUUGCGACGUCUGGCCUAAUUUAGUGCUGGCCUGUGUUGGGUUCCGCUCGGAUUAACACUCAUUUGACAGCCGGGCCUGAGACGAAAGAGGCAGCAGCCGCCCACUCCCCAGGGAAGAUUCAGCGGCCUCGCUGGAACUUUGAGCUCCGCCCACGCACUACAUCUCCCAGCAGCGCCUGCGGCGUUCGCACCCUGCUACACAGACUACAACUUCCAAGAGGCCCCGCGCCGCCGGAGAGCUAGCGAGUGUGGUCGGUGGUUGGGACGGGCGGUGUUCAAGCUCCAUCGCUAUUAACCCUAUAGGGGAGUCUGACUGCGUCCUUCCAAAGAGGGCGCCCCUUGAGGGGCGGGCAGGGUUGUGCCUGGCAGAGCGGGAAGCCAAAACCCUGAGCGAAUGUGGGGGAUAAGGGCGUGUAAAGGGAGCGAGCCAGGUCCCCGCGCUGGGCAGAACCGACCUUAUCAUUCCGAGGGCUUCUCUGCUCAAAGGUUUCCUGGCCGCCUUUGACACUGACGGGCCUCUGAGGGCCUGAGCCGGGCGGGCCCUCCACUUGUUAGCGGUCUCUGAUCGCUGAAGAUAGGAAGCCGAAAACCCGAGCUGAGAACGAACAGACUUACCUCCUGGCCCGCAAAAGAUCCACUAGACCGCCGGCUCCAAGAUCCGCGAGGCCCCAAGCAGAUUCCAAAUCCGCAGGCAGAGUUCUUUUGAGACUUCAGGAGUUCGGCAAGGUUCUAGAAAUCACUACUGGCAGAUUCCGGAUAUCUCAGACCUGCAGGUAGAUCUCGAAUCCGCCGACUUGCAGGCAAAGCCCAGAGAUUCCCAAAGACUCACACAGAUUCCGAGACCUCAGACUCUCAGGCAGCCCAGAAACCACAGGCUCAGAGGCAGGUCCCCCAGAGACCACAGAGGCUAGCCAAGAAACACCACCAGCAGCUAAGCUGCAUGCAGCUGGAUUUCUUCCGAACGGAAGGACUUGCCCCCUUCCCUUUCCCCAGCCAGGAUGAGAAAAUUAGACAAUGGAAGCCCAGCACUAGGAAAAGAAGGCAUUCUGCGUGGAGAAGCGCUCUGAGCUCGCUGUAGCCUUGGAGAGGGAAGUGAUGGAAAAAGAAUAUAGCAGCUUAUUAGGGACUCCCACCCUCUUCAAGUUAUAAAUAUCCCCAGAACCUUGGCUACGUGCCCAGAAGCCUGUUGUCUCUAACUGUACAGGAGACUUCUCUGCCUGCGCUGGGAAAGGGGCUUUUCUUUUGUUUUGCAGAUACAUCUACCCACUGGGUGACUUGAAUUUUUUUUCUCGAACAUGACUCCAGGCUGUGCUUUUAUUAGUGGGUGUCUGUUCCCAGUGCCAGUUAUUUAUGGUUAAAUUACUCAAGUGUCUGAAAAGAACUAGGACUCUACCCAGCCAUGAGGCAGACUCUCCCACUCCACACCCCCAACGGCCUGGCUGGGGGCAGGGCGACUCUCUAAACCCUGCUUGGCUGCUUGCCUCCUUCUGUGAUUACGAUGGCUUAGUGCUUUCUCUUUGUUCUUCCUCAACUUGUUCACUGAAAUCCUGGCUGGCAGUUCUAUCAGCAGAACUACAAAACCAAAAAGGCAACAGAAUUUUAGAGCUUUUCCUGCGCCACCCAAGGAGGCUGGGGGAGGGGGAGGGGACAUGAAAAAGAAGGUAGGGUCUGGAGCCACACAGACCAGAGGCCAAA
Molecule: long non-coding RNA, 1872 nt
Organism: Eptesicus fuscus (big brown bat)
Lineage: Eukaryota; Metazoa; Chordata; Mammalia; Chiroptera; Vespertilionidae
Exons: 3
Source: RefSeq, a predicted model, not a curated record